This 228-nucleotide ribosomal RNA is filed under the name uncultured bacterium. RNAcentral describes it as "partial 16S ribosomal RNA". It matches the Rfam family "Bacterial small subunit ribosomal RNA", at positions 568 to 796 of the family's 1533-position model. The record is from RNAcentral.
UGCGUAGGCGGGGCAAUUAGUCAGUGGUGAAAUCCUGCGGCUUAACCGUAGAACUGCCAUUGAUACUGUUGCCCUUGAGUAUAGUUGAGGUGGGCGGAAUGUGUAAUGUAGCGGUGAAAUGCAUAGAGAUUACACAGAACACCAAUUGCGAAGGCAGCUCACUAAGCUAUAACUGACGCUGAGGCACGAAAGCGUGGGGAGCGAACAGGAUUAGAUACCUGGUAGUCC